RNAcentral lists this ribosomal RNA (429 nucleotides) under Bacteroidota bacterium. RNAcentral's name for it is "Bacteroidetes bacterium partial 16S ribosomal RNA". It matches the Rfam family "Bacterial small subunit ribosomal RNA", at positions 355 to 776 of the family's 1533-position model. Lineage: Bacteria; Pseudomonadati; Bacteroidota. The record is from RNAcentral.
UAGGGAAUCUUCCGCAAUGGACGCAAGUCUGACGGAGCAACGCCGCGUGAGUGAAGAAGGAUUUCGGUUCGUAAAACUCUGUUGUUAGAGAAGAACAGCGCAUAGAGUAACUGUUAUGCGUGUGACGGUAUCUAACCAGAAAGCCACGGCUAACUACGUGCCAGCAGCCGCGGUAAUACGUAGGUGGCAAGCGAUGUCCGGAUUUAUUGGGCGUAAAGCGAGCGCAGGCGGUCAAUUAAGUCUGAUGUGAAAGCCCCCGGCUCAACCGGGGAGGGUCAUUGGAAACUGGUUGACUUGAGUGCAGAAGAGGAGAGUGGAAUUCCAUGUGUAGCGGUGAAAUGCGUAGAUAUAUGGAGGAACACCAGUGGCGAAGGCGGCUCUCUGGUCUGUAACUGACGCUGAGGCUCGAAAGCGUGGGGAGCGAACAGG